GACGAACGCUGGCGGCGUGCCUAAUACAUGCAAGUAGAACGCUGAAGAGAGGAGCUUACUCUUCUUGGAUGAGUUGCGAACGGGUGAGUAACGCGUAGGUAACCUGCCUUGUAGCGGGGGAUAACUAUUGGAAACGAUAGCUAAUACCGCAUAACAAUGGAUGACACAUGUCAUUUAUUUGAAAGGGGCAAUUGCUCCACUACAAGAUGGACCUGCGUUGUAUUAGCUAGUAGGUGAGGUAAUGGCUCACCUAGGCGACGAUACAUAGCCGACCUGAGAGGGGGAUCGGCCACACUGGGACUGGGACACGGCCCAGACUCCUACGGGAGGCAGCAGUAGGGAAUCUUCGGGAAUGGGGGCAACCCUGACCGAGCAACGCCGCGGGAGUGAAGAAGGUUUUCGGAUCGUAAAGCUCUGUUGUAAGUCAAGAACGGGUGUGAGAGUGGAAAGUGCACACUGUGACGGUAGCUGACCAGAAAGGGACGGCUAACUACGUG
This 497-nucleotide ribosomal RNA is filed under the name uncultured bacterium. RNAcentral describes it as "partial 16S ribosomal RNA". It matches the Rfam family "Bacterial small subunit ribosomal RNA", at positions 28 to 507 of the family's 1533-position model. The record is from RNAcentral.